UGCAAGUCGAACGGUAACAGAUCUAGCUUGCUAGAUGCUGACGAGUGGCGCACGGGUGCGUAACGCGUAUACAAUCUACCUCUAACUGAGGGAUAGCCCAGAGAAAUUUGGAUUAAUACCUCAUAGUAUUAUAUUAAGGCAUCUUUUUAUAAUUAAAGCUCCGGUGGUUAGAGAUGAGUAUGCGUCCUAUUAGCUAGUUGGUAAGGUAAUAGCUUACCAAGGCUACGAUAGGUAGGGGGCCUGAAAGGGUGAUCCCCCACACUGGUACUGAGACACGGACCAGACUCCUACGGGAGGCAGCAGUGAGGAAUAUUGCACAAUGGAGGAAACUCUGAUGCAGCCAUGCCGCGUGCAGGAUGAAUGCCCUAUGGGUUGUAAACUGCUUUUAUACAAGAAGAAACAUCAGUACGUGUACUGACUUGACGGUAUUGUAUGAAUAAGCACCGGCUAACUCCGUGCCAGCAGCCGCGGUAAUACGGAGGGUGCAAGCGUUAUCCGGAUUUAUUAGGUUUAAAGGGUCCGCAGGCGGAAUAUUAAGUCAGUGGUGGAAGCCUACAGCUCAACUGUAGAACUGCCAUUGAAACUGUUAUUCUUGAGUAUGGAUGAAGUGGGCGGAAUAUGUCAUGUA
Molecule: ribosomal RNA, 628 nt
Filed under: uncultured marine bacterium
Lineage: Bacteria
Description: bacterial SSU rRNA
Rfam family: Bacterial small subunit ribosomal RNA
Source: RNAcentral